RNAcentral lists this ribosomal RNA (406 nucleotides) under uncultured bacterium. RNAcentral's name for it is "partial 16S ribosomal RNA". It matches the Rfam family "Bacterial small subunit ribosomal RNA", at positions 30 to 526 of the family's 1533-position model. The record is from RNAcentral.
AUUGAACGCUGGCGGCAGGCCUAACACAUGCAAGUCGAACGAGUGGCGGACGGGUGAGUAAUGUCUGGGAAACUGCCUGAUGGAGGGGGAUAACUACUGGAAACGGUAGCUAAUACCGCAUACCAUCGGAUGUGCCCAGAUGGGAUUAGCUAGUAGGUGGGGUAAAGGCCCACCUAGGCGACGAUCCCUAGAUGGUCUGAGAGGAUGACCAGCCAAACUGGAACUGAGACACGGUCACGACUCCUACGGGAGGCAGCAGUGGGGAUUAUUGCACAAUGGGCGCAAGCCGGAUGCAGCCAUGCCGAGUGUAUGAAGAAGGCUUUCGGGUUGUAAAGUACUUUCAGCGGGGAGGCGUUACCCGCAGACGAAGCACCGGCUAACUCCGUGCCAGCCGCCGCGGUAAUAC